This 74-nucleotide unclassified non-coding RNA is filed under the name Mus musculus (house mouse). Its description in RNAcentral is "partial probably derived from hnRNA or mRNA fragment, protein coding region". Lineage: Eukaryota; Metazoa; Chordata; Mammalia; Rodentia; Muridae. The record is from RNAcentral.
GCCAGCUCCCAUGCCUAACAUUGGAUCAAAAUAUGGCCGGAAGGCCACUUGGAUCGGUGCGAGUGGGGACCAGA